GAACUGUUACCGACUUUUAGGUUACAUAAUAUUGCCAAAUGGAAAAGUUAGACUAUAUAGGUAGGAGAAAGAAACAAUAAUAAUUAAAUCAGCCAAGGUCCCACACGACACUGUUGCAAGUGUUUCCAUAUAUGGUCACGUAGCUGCUCUCUCACCACCACGGAAAAGAAACCUGCACAGCAGCCACCACCCCUGCGGGCAGCCGGAGGCCCCUUGUCCAGCUCUGGGAUUUGAAGGUACUGCUGAGCCACUGCUCUGAACAAAGUCAUUUAAUGCCUUUGAUGUCUGCAAUUUAAGGAACACCAGAGAAAAUCUACAGAGAGUUAAUUACAGUGUGCAUUCGUAAAGGCCUUUACAGUUUGCAAAGGGCCUCCAUUGUUCUUCCUGCAAACCCUCUGUGCUCCAUUCUGCCUGGGGUAACCUAGGCCUCCCACGGAGCUAUUUCAGUGCUGUGCAGAGCCCUACAGUGUCCAGGCCCGGGUUCCAUGCUUUAAGAGGAUCACUGACUGAUAGAGUGCCUCAAAAGAGAAAAGCGAGGGAUGAAGUCUAUGGAAAUUAUAAUGAGAGGAAAUAACCUAAAGAAAAGAAGAGGGGUUGCCAUAAUAACUGACGGGUUCUUCUCUCAUUCAAAUGUAUGUUAUACGAUGAGGGUUUAAUUUUGUAUCUUGUGGGGGAAUCAGACGGCAGAGUCAACAUGGAUGACUGGCAAUUGCAAGGAGGCAGAUAAGGUUUAACCUAAGAAUCUUGACCAUAGAAAGGGCUGCCUUAGUACCAGCGAUCUUCCUGGUACUAAGCAUCCUCUGAGUACCACUUAUCAGGGUGAGGGCAGUUCUCUGAAGCUCACCGUCUCAGGCUUUCAAGCCUGCAGGAUAUGAGGAAGCCUCUCCUUCCUGGUCUGGCCCACGCCUUGACUCUUAUUGUCACCGUGAGAUGGACAUUUCAAAACUCGAAAGACAGAGACUUGUCAAAAGACCUCACAAUCCCCUUUGGAAAACAUGCCAAGACAUGCUUAGGAAUUACCACUGCUAUCCUACAGAGCUGGCCACUUCUAGGGUACAGGCCAGGCAGCUGGAGAGCAGGUGUGAGACCACGGGCAUCAGUCCCCCUUCUGAAGUUGAGCAGGACCCCUGCACUCACGCACAGCCCGCCAUGCUCGGUCCAUCAGUCUCUUCCAGCACCAGUGUAUAAUAUUCAGUCUGCACAACACUCUGAUAUGGUGAACUCUUGAAGAGCUGAAACUGUUCUAUUUAUCUUGUAACUCCAAAGCUUACCCAAGUGUUGGCAUUUAUUAGAUACUCAAUAUAUGCCUAAUGGGGGAAUAAAUAUAUUCCAUUUCAAAUAAGCAUCGCCUCAGUGCAGGCACUCUAUCAAUGGCAAGAUAUACAGAAUUAAAAUAAGACACAGUCCCUGCCUUUAAGGAGUGAUGGAUAAUCAGCAGAAUAAAUACAUGAGUGAGUGAGGCAAAAACUCGGGUGGAGUUUUGCCUUUUCAGAUUCCUUUCCACUCUAAGAUUCUAUAAAUCCAUAUUCCUUUCCUCAAUAAAAAUCGCAAGAGCAGAAAAAGUGGCCAUACUGUAGUAGGAUUUUCCUUGGUUUUCAGUCUACCACGGGCAGUACAGCUGAGCUGCCAGCAAAUCAAAUAACUUGAGGACUCAGUCUAUAGCGAAAACAUGAGAUUCUUUUAAUUACUUUGAAGAGUUGGGGAACAAAAGGUCUUGGCAUAAAUUUGUGUCAAAACAAUACAGAAGGUACUUUCUCAUGUUAAGAAAAAAAGGCUUUUGGCCCCGGAAUUUGAAGUGUAUGAUAAUUUUCUCUACGUACUAAUUGAAGAAUUCAAACUAUUUCAUUUAUAUUAAAAAUUAUAACAUA
Equus caballus (horse) is the source of this 1868-nucleotide long non-coding RNA. RefSeq lists it as uncharacterized. The record is from RefSeq and is a predicted model, not a curated record. NCBI's taxonomy places the organism in Eukaryota, Metazoa, Chordata, Mammalia, Perissodactyla, Equidae.